GGCGAACGCUGGCGGCGUGCUUAACACAUGCAAGUCGAACGGAAAGGCCCUGCUUUUGUGGGGUGCUCGAGUGGCGAACGGGUGAGUAACACGUGAGUAACCUGCCCUUGACUUUGGGAUAACUUCAGGAAACUGGGGCUAAUACCGGAUAGGAGCUCCUGCUGCAUGGUGGGGGUUGGAAAGUUUCGGCGGUUGGGGAUGGACUCGCGGCUUAUCAGCUUGUUGGUGGGGUAGUGGCUUACCAAGGCUUUGACGGGUAGCCGGCCUGGGAGGGUGACCGGCCACAUUGGGACUGAGAUACGGCCCAGACUCCUACGGGCGGCAGCAGUGGGGAAUAUUGCACAAUGGGCGGAAGCCUGAUGCAGCAACGCCGCGUGCGGGAUGACGGCCUUCGGGUUGUAAACCGCUUUCGCCUGUGACGAAGCGUGAGUGACGGUAAUGGGUAAAGAAGCACCGGCUAACUACGUG
Molecule: ribosomal RNA, 468 nt
Filed under: uncultured bacterium
Lineage: Bacteria
Description: partial 16S ribosomal RNA
Rfam family: Bacterial small subunit ribosomal RNA
Source: RNAcentral